GGUUAAGCGACUAAGCGUACACGGUGGAUGCCCUGGCAGUCAGAGGCGAUGAAGGACGUGCUAAUCUGCGAUAAGCGCCGGUAAGGUGAUAUGAACCGUUAUAACCGGCGAUUUCCGAAUGGGGAAACCCAGUGUGACUCGUCACACUAUCAUUAACUGAAUCCAUAGGUUAAUGAGGCGAACCGGGGGAACUGAAACAUCUAAGUACCCCGAGGAAAAGAAAUCAACCGAGAUUCCCCCAGUAGCGGCGAGCGAACGGGGAGGAGCCCAGAGCCUGAAUCAGCAUGUGUGUUAGUGGAAGCGUCUGGAAAGGCGCGCGAUACAGGGUGACAGCCCCGUACACAAAAGCGCAUGUGCUGUGAGCUCGAUGAGUAGGGCGGGACACGUGGUAUCCUGUCUGAAUAUGGGGGGACCAUCCUCCAAGGCUAAAUACUCCUGACUGACCGAUAGUGAACCAGUACCGUGAGGGAAAGGCGAAAAGAACCCCGGCGAGGGGAGUGAAAAAGAACCUGAAACCGUGUACGUACAAGCAGUGGGAGCCCCACCACUAAGCCAGUGGUGAACUCCACAUACGCAUCCUUUGCUGAGGAUACGGUUAACGGAGCGAAAGCGACGUUCAACCUCAAAAGAAGCAGAGGGGGCUUAGUGGUGGGGUGACUGCGUACCUUUUGUAUAAUGGGUCAGCGACUUAUAUUCUGUAGCAAGGUUAACCGAAUAGGGGAGCCG
Molecule: ribosomal RNA, 726 nt
Filed under: Salmonella enterica
Lineage: Bacteria; Pseudomonadati; Pseudomonadota; Gammaproteobacteria; Enterobacterales; Enterobacteriaceae
Also listed under: 1 other name
Description: partial 23S ribosomal RNA
Rfam family: Bacterial large subunit ribosomal RNA
Source: RNAcentral